Molecule: transfer RNA, 78 nt
Filed under: Candidatus Bathyarchaeota archaeon
Lineage: Archaea; Thermoproteati; Candidatus Bathyarchaeota
Description: tRNA-Met
Rfam family: tRNA
About the family: Transfer RNA (tRNA) molecules are approximately 80 nucleotides in length. Their secondary structure includes four short double-helical elements and three loops (D, anti-codon, and T loops).
Source: RNAcentral
GCCGGGGUAGCAUAGCCUGGCAAUGCGCUGGACUCAUGGGCCGGAUAAAGAUCGUGGGUUCAAAUCCCACCCCCGGCA